GGAGAUCUUCAUCACCCCGCCGACGACCCCGGGGCUCUUCCAACACUGGGCGGGCUCUUCAAAACCUUGACGUUGACGAUGAUGAUGAUGAUGAAGGCUCUUCCAAUAAUGACGAUGAUGAAGAUGAUGAUGACGAUGAUGAUGAAGAUGAUGAUGAUGAUGAAGAUGAUGA
This 172-nucleotide long non-coding RNA is filed under the name Anas platyrhynchos platyrhynchos (common mallard). RNAcentral's name for it is "lncRNA (ENSAPLG00000020700.1)". The record is from RNAcentral. Lineage: Eukaryota; Metazoa; Chordata; Aves; Anseriformes; Anatidae.